AUUGAACGCUGGCGGCAGGCCUAACACAUGCAAGUCGAGCGGAUGAAGGGAGCUUGCUCCUGGAUUCAUCGGCGGACGGGUGAGUAAUGCCUAGGAAUCUGCCUGGUAGUGGGGGAUAACGUCCGGAAACGGGCGCUAAUACCGCAUACGUCCUGAGGGAGAAAGUGGGGGAUCUUCGGACCUCACGCUAUCAGAUGAGCCUAGGUCGGAUUAGCUAGUUGGUGGGGUAAAGGCCUACCAAGGCGACGAUCCGUAACUGGUCUGAGAGGAUGAUCAGUCACACUGGAACCGAGACACGGUCCAGACUCCUACGGGAGGCAGCAGUGGGGAAUAUUGGACCAUGGGCGAAAGCCUGAUCCAGCCAUGCCGCGUGUGUGAAGAAGGUCUUCGGAUUGUAAAGCACUUUAAGUUGGGAGGAAGGGCAGUAAGUUAAUACCUUGCUGUUUUGACGUUACCAACAGAAUAAGCACCGGCUAACUUCGUG
This 484-nucleotide ribosomal RNA is filed under the name uncultured bacterium. Its description in RNAcentral is "partial 16S ribosomal RNA". It matches the Rfam family "Bacterial small subunit ribosomal RNA", at positions 30 to 507 of the family's 1533-position model. The record is from RNAcentral.